RNAcentral lists this ribosomal RNA (176 nucleotides) under uncultured bacterium. Its description in RNAcentral is "partial 16S ribosomal RNA". It matches the Rfam family "Bacterial small subunit ribosomal RNA", at positions 1325 to 1500 of the family's 1533-position model. The record is from RNAcentral.
GCUGGAAUCGCUAGUAAUCGCGAAUCAGAAUGUCGCGGUGAAUACGUUCCCGGGUCUUGUACACACCGCCCGUCACACCAUGGGAGUCGGGAAUGCCCGAAGUCAGUGACCCAACCUAUAGGAGGGAGCUGCCGAAGGCAGGUCUGAUAACUGGGGUGAAGUCGUAACAAGGUAAC